RNAcentral lists this long non-coding RNA (517 nucleotides) under Homo sapiens (human). Its description in RNAcentral is "HSALNT0347722". The record is from RNAcentral. Lineage: Eukaryota; Metazoa; Chordata; Mammalia; Primates; Hominidae.
AUGACUGGGGCAAGCAGAGACGUGCCCAUGAGUCAGGACUGCAGAAGAGCACUUUUUGCAUGGAAAGGAUAUCAAAAAUGAAGUACUCAAAGAGAACUGCAUCAUGAAGGAGAAACUUGGAUUUGUGAUUCAGGCAAGUCCAGGUUCAAAUCCUGGCUCUGCAAUUUACCAGCUGCAGAAACUUGGAUAUUUAGAACAGAUGAAGAUGAUCCCAAAUAAGGAUAUUUGGUGUCCCUGAAGUAGAGAACUCAAAACUAUGGAAUAGAAAGAGGAAGGACCUUCAAGCAUCUCAAAACAGAAAGUAUCAAAGAACUGAAACUCAUCAGAUCACCACAUCCAGACAGUGAGGCUGGACCACUAAUUCAUCAUGAUUGAUUCCAUGCUCCUCCCUAGUUCCUAGUUUCUGUUUUCUUGCAUAUUGUUACAUUUCUUCCCUGCUAUAUACACCUCUAGUUUUAGUAGUUCAGGGAGAUGGAUUUGAGACUGAACUCCCAUCUCUUUGGCUGUAGCACCCUAU